ACUAACUUGAAAACUGAAAACUAUACAGUUGUGCUUAACUUUAAAACACUGUCCUGAUAAAGUGCAAAAGAGUGCACAUCUAUUUACAUAUAUAUGUACAUAUAUAUUUGAAGUGUUGCUCUAUGGUUGAAGAAUAGUUAGCAUUUGCGCAAAGUAUAUAAAUAUACAUUGCCGUAGAGCUGAACAAAAACUUUGUAAAUUGUCUACAACUAAGAAUAGAGUUCUCCAAGUUGUUGCCAGCCAAAUCAACGGGUAAAACAGUUUCUCCGACUUAAACUUAACUCCACUUUAAAAGGAAAAAACAUUUGCUGUUCUAACUGAAAAGAUUUUUAAAUCGAGCAACAGUGUGGAACUGCCAUAUUUGGCAAAUAAAAUACUUCAGCACUAAAAAUCCAUAAUUAAAUACUAACAUUUGCAAAACAGUUAGCGCGUGAUAA
Drosophila hydei is the source of this 437-nucleotide long non-coding RNA. RefSeq lists it as uncharacterized. The transcript is spliced from 3 exons. The record is from RefSeq and is a predicted model, not a curated record. NCBI's taxonomy places the organism in Eukaryota, Metazoa, Arthropoda, Insecta, Diptera, Drosophilidae.